This 277-nucleotide ribosomal RNA is filed under the name uncultured bacterium. RNAcentral's name for it is "partial 16S ribosomal RNA". It matches the Rfam family "Bacterial small subunit ribosomal RNA", at positions 28 to 297 of the family's 1533-position model. The record is from RNAcentral.
GACGAACGCUGGCGGCGUGCUUCAUGCAUGCAAGUCGAACGGAGCCCAACCGGUGGAAACACCGGGAAAGGUUCAGUGGCGAACGGGUGCGUAACACGUGAGUAACCUGUCCCGAAGACCGGGAUAACACCGGGAAACCGGUGCUAAUACCGGAUGUCCCCACCAAGUCGCAUGGCUCGGUGAGGAAAUGGAUUCCGCUUCGGGAGGGACUCGCGGCCUAUCAGCUUGUUGGUGGGGUAACGGCUCACCAAGGCUCCGACGGGUAGCUGGUCUGAGA